GACUGGGAUGGAGUGGGAGGGACUGGGAUGGACUGGGAGGGACUGGGAGGGACUGGGAUGGACUGGGAGGGACUGGGAUGGACUGGGGGGGAACUGGGAUGGACUGGGGGGGAACUGGGACAGAUUGGGAGGGAACGGAUCCAUACUGGUCUACACCAGUCCGUACUGGUUUAUACUGGUCUAUACUGGUCUAUACUGGUCUAUACUGGUCCAUACUGGUCCAUACUGGUCUAUACUGGUCCAUACUGGUUUAUACUGGUCUAUACUGGUCUACAUCAGUCCGUACUGGUUUAUACUGGUUUAUACUGGUUUAUACCACUGGGUACUGCUCCAUACUGGUCCAUACUGGUCCAUACUGGUCUAUACUGGUCCAUACUGGUCCGUACUGGUGCUCACCUGCCGGUGCGGGCGUAGUCCAGCCUGUAGGGCCCGAACUGCUCCAGGCGCAGCUCAAAGUGCUGGGGGGGGAGGGGGAGGGGCACCAAAAAAUGGGAAUUCUCAGCCCCAAAAUUCCCAAAAUUCCCCAAAAUUCCCCAAAAUUCCCAAAUUCCCCUCCCCCACUGACAGGCCCCCCAAAAAUUCCCAUUUUUCCCCCCCAAAAUUCCCAUUUUUCCUCCCAAAAUUCCCAUUUUUCCCCAAAAAAUUCCCAUUUUUUUCUUCAAAAUUCCCUUUUUUCCACCCAAAAUUCAAUUUUUUGCUUCAAAAUUCCCUUUUUUCCCCCCAAAAUUCCCAUUUUUUCCACUAAAUUCACAAUUUUUCCACCAAAUUCCCAUUUUUCCCCCCCCAAAUUCCCAUUUUUCCCCCCUGAAAUUCCCAUUUUUCCACCUAAAAUCUCCAUUUUUUCUCCUAAAACCUCCAUUUUUUUCCCCAAAAUCCCCAUUUUCCCCCCAAAAAUUCCCGUUUUCCCCCCCAAAAUCCCCAUUUUCUCCCCAAAAUUCCCAUUUUCCCCCCAAAAUUCCCGUUUUUCCCCCCAAAAUCCCCAUUUUCUCCCCCAAAAUUCCCAUUUUCCCCCCAAAAUUCGCUUUUUUCCCCCGAAAAUUCCCAUUUUCCCCCCAAAAUUCCCAUUUUUUCCCCAAAAUCCCCAUUUUUCCCCCCCAAAAUUCCCAUUUUCCCCCCCAAAUUCCCAUUUUUCCCCCCAAAAUCCCCAUUUUUCCCCCAAAAUCCCCAUUUUUCCCCCCAAAUUCCCACCUUUUUCCCUCUAAACCCCCCCCCAAAUCCC
This 1219-nucleotide long non-coding RNA is filed under the name Cyanistes caeruleus (blue tit). RNAcentral's name for it is "lncRNA (ENSCCEG00000004024.1)". Lineage: Eukaryota; Metazoa; Chordata; Aves; Passeriformes; Paridae. The record is from RNAcentral.